CACUUGGAUGUAUGGUGACCCUGGACACCCAGCAGAGGCAAACUGGGUGGCUGUUGGAGACGGGGAAGGUCUGAGUACCCAUCUCCAACUUCUGCAGUGAGGCGGACUGUGUGCUGUCAGAGAACAGAUUUAUCUCUGGUGUGUGAUUCUCUGGCCAUUUCAGAAAUUUUUUUGGCAAUGCCAAGAGCAGCGGUGAAGAGAAGCCUCAGGGUGAAGAGAUGCGUCUAUGGAGGCUUUCUGCUGUUGUUUCCUGUUCUGGACAUUCCCAGUGAGAAGACACUUUUACAGCGAGAAGGAGAAGGGAGACUGCUAUGUUUGAUGCUGAGAGAUGUACUGGUAACCAGUGAUCUGCGUUUAGGGGUUUUCCUGGGGGAAGCGCUGAUAUCAGUCCUAGGGUGAUAGUGGGACAGCUGUUUUUUGUGGUUGCUGGUGGUUUCUUAACAGCAACUGGUUUCUUAAGAGCAGCAGCAGUUCUGGUUUCAUGCUGGACAUUUUUCUGUCUUCAGUGUGCAUGGAAUGUGGUUUAUUAUGUUUGCCCCAGUUGUAAGAAUUUCAAUGCUGUAAAUGCUAGUUUGUUGUUUAAAUGCACAUCUUUGUGCUGAAGGGCAGUAAAAUUAGCUGUAGUCCUAUCUUAAAGAAUAAGGUGAUUGAUGAGGCCUUGAUGAGCUUGGAAGGUGUCUUUAAUGGUUUUAUAACAGGUCAUUUACUGAGCCAUGUUUUCUUUGGGUGAGCAUCCCACAUUGCAAACUUUUGGGGGGUAUAAAUCAACUGCAAUAGUUUUGAUUUGGAGUUUAACCUGUAAAAUGUGAAAUACAAAGUGUUUCUAACUUGUAAAAUCAGGCAAAGGUGGGUCACUGGCCUGGCAAAGAGGAGUAUUUAAUGUAAUCUCUCCAAUUGGUUUCUUUCCCCCAGUUCAAAGGGAGGAGCAAAGUUUUGCAAAAAUCUCACAGGAGCUGGGCUACAGGAUCGAUAAACUGUGAGGAAGGGGGAAGCUUGUGUUUUCUUGCUUAGCUGUUUCCUCUGUUUAAUGGUAUGCAUGUUUGCUGUUGGAUGUAUGAAUACUUUUUCUCUAUAGGGCUCUCUCUGAAUUGGAGCUGGGCUGUUCUGAAGUUGUGCCUGUUUUUUGCUGAGGCGAGGUGUGCAGUUUCUGAGUGGCUUGAUAGUUUUGCAGCUUUGUGAGGGAAAUCUCACGCUGUGUUAUCUGUGGUUUAUUUUCCUGUUUUGGAAUGCAGGGCUGCCUAGAACCAGCUCAGGAUGAGUUUUUGGUAUCCUGCUAUUUCCUCAAGAUGUUUCCCCCCCUGCUCUGGAGGAUAGGACUCAAACCAGUGCCUUCAAGUUACAAGAAAGGAGAUUCAGGAAAACCUUUCUGACAGGACAGAGUGGUUUUACAGUGGAACUGUCUCCCUCAGGAGGUUGUGGACUCCCCUUCUUUAAGCAGAGGUUGGAUGGCCAUCUGUCAUGGGUGCUUUAGUUGAGAUCAGACAACUUUUUCAGGUUUUUGAAAUGGUUCAAAAUGCUGCAAAAGCUGUUGUCCAGAGGUUAAAGUGGGAUGAGUUGUUCACACUGUUUCAAAACGCAUUCAGAUCUCUGAAGGAAAAUAUUACUUUGCUUGUCUCUGUGAAAGGUGGGGACAUGUUAAAGUAUUAAAAUGUUGCCCUCCCCUUAUCUACACAGAGAGGAUAUUGUUGGCAUUCAUGGAGAGAAAGGGUUAUAACAAAGUGUUACAUAGUGCACUUGUUAGCAGAAAUCAUAAAACAAUGGCUAUGCCUGUCUUGAUGAAGCCAUAUUUUUAGAAAAAAAUCAACAUUCCUGUCCUGAGGAAAAAAAAUUGGUAUGUUACAUGCAUUUCAGUGACUUCCAACCAAGUAACAAUGUAUAAUUUAAAGCCCCCGCACCUUUAAUCACUAUUUUCUUUUUGCCUGCCUGCUCUCCUCUUUUAUCUAUCAGUGCUCCCUGAUGGAAUGAGAAGUGACAAGCUGUAAUUUUAUUUUCUUCUUGGAAUUCUGGUUCUGAAUUGAUAGAGAAGAUUUAGUUCCAAGGGCUUCUCAGGAUUAAAUGACUCAUUUGGAACUCUCUCUCUCUCUCUCUCUCUCUCUCUCUGUGUGUGUGUGUGUGUGUGUGUUGUUUCUUAUUAUGGGGAAGCGUUUGGGUACAUCUCUUUAGUGAGAUGAGCUAUGGGGGCAUAUGAAAAUAUCCUCAGGGCUGUAAUUUCAAAGGCCCUUGUAAGGACCCAGGACCUAUUGGUUGGUUGUUUUCAAAAGCCCCCCCCCCCCAUAUAUGAAAUUUAUACUCAAUUGUUCCUACAUCUAGCAUUCUGGUCAAUGAUGCCAAGACACUGGGGUGAACUAAUUGUAAACAUGCCAGGCUACUUGUUGUUGUUGUUGUUUUCACUGCUUUUAUUUUAUUUUUUACAAAUAUAACGAAGAGAGAAGAGAUUACAAACAUCACCAGCUGGUAUGAACAGUAAGAAUAUUCAAUCAAUCCUAAUUUAAACAUAUACACUACUAUAAGCAGUACCCAUGUCCAAAUCAGUAUCAAAACAAGAUGGGUGAUCAGCCAUGCAUUCAAACGUAGAAAGGGCAGUGAGAUCUUCAGUUUCACAUUGAUUUAUGAUGUCUCUGCCCUGCCACUUACAGCGUUCCUUCAGUCUCUACCUCUGUGAGCCCAGGAGUAUUGUGGACCAUGGCCUACUGGAAAAGAAGAGGCUCAGAAUAAACACGGCUUCAGGACCAAAAAAGAUUUGUGAAGGCAAAUUUCCAAGUAAGACAGGCAGCAAACACCUUGGUUAAUCUUCACUUUUGAAACAUUAAGGUGCUGGUAGCCCUGAAAAGUUUUUGCCUUCCUUGGAGCUUGGCUUGGUUUUGCCUGAGUCCUGGGGAUGUGCAUAUUCUGCAAGCACCUUUUCUUCAACACACCUGAUGCCUCCUUGUGGCUCAUGUUUUGCCUGGAUUGUACAGACUGAGCUGGUUGUAGCAUAUAAGGGUGAGCAGGUUUUCACUGGGGGAAAGGGAUGGAGUUGACUUUGGUGGGGUAGGUGGGUGAGCCCUUUUUACUGUGGUUCAAUGAAUGAGGGGCCAACCAAGUCUUCUGGGCCCAGCAGUCUCCUCUGAUGUUCCACCUGAUCACGAGGCAGGAACUUAUUGGAAUAGCCUUAUUCCCAGCCACCAGGGGCCAGUCACAUUUGUGGCAAAUCCUUCUGCUGUCUUGCCCUGGGCAGAAAAAUGCAUCUAGGGCCUCUUUCACAAGUUCCAUGAGGGUCCUGCAAAGUAAUUCCUCAACCAGGGCGAUGACAGCUUUGUGAAUCCAUCCUUUAAUUUUUGUCUCCAAGGAUUUAUCACAAAACUAGGCCAGUCAUGCGUCAUAACUGCAUUUGCUUCUGUUUAAUUAUGCUACAUUAGUUAAUCUUAUUACCCCUUCAGGAACCAACAUUUCUCCAUGGAAUAAAUCAUAUUUUGUUUGCUUGCUCUGCAUACCAUCUACAGAUUUUAUGACAUCAGUAUUCCCUGGCUGACUGAGGGUUGUACCAGCUUCUGUCUAAUUCAAAAUAACUUUCCAGUUGGUGUUGCAUAAGAAAUCCAGAACUGUGGAGCAAUUUGCAGGAGAAUUUAAGUAUUAUAGAAUCAUAGGAUUGUAGAGUUGGAAAGGACCAUGAGCAUCUAGUCCAACCCUCUGCAAUGCAGGAAUCUUUUGCUCAACAUGGGGCUCAAAUCCUUGACUCUGAGAUUAGAAGUCUUGUGCUCGACUGUAUCUACUAAUAUAAGCAGAAAGCAGCAUACAUACAGUCAGUGAUAGCCAGGCUUUUUAAUGUAAUAUUUGCUGUACCUGACAAGAGUAACUAGAUCUAGUAGCACACAGCCAGCAAAUUUAUUGAUUACUUUGAACCGGAACUAUUUGAUUCUUUUUAGCAAUCCCCCUUAUACAAAACUAUUUUGUUCUAUUCAGAACCACAUCUUCAUUAUUCUUUGUUAUCCAAAUGGUAAAGGUAAAAGACCUCUGGACGGUUAAGUCCAGUCGAAUUAGACAAUGGGGUGAGGUGCUCAUCUUCAAUGUCUGCAGACAGCGUUUCAGGUCAUGUGGCCAGCAUGACUAAACUGCUUCUGGCACAAUGGAACACAGUGACGGAAGCCAGAGCGCAUGAAAACGCCGUUUACCUUCCCGCCACAGAAGUAUGUACCAAUCUACUCAUGCUGAUAUGCUUUCGAACUGCUAGGCUGUCAGAAGCUGGGGCAAAGCAAAGAGAGCUCACGCUGUUGCACAGAGUCAAACUGCCAACCUUUCUGAUCAGUUAUGUUGUAUGAUUUUAGAUGGAAGUUUCCUUUUAUUCUCUAUCAUCCAUUGUCAAGGCCUUUGGCUAUAUACAAUAAAACUGAUUGCAGUGGUAUAUAUUCUACUCAUUCUCUUUGGGAAAAGGUACCACCAGUAUACUCUAUAAUGAUAUGUGAAUUUAAGGAGCCAUUAGAUUUACAGCAAAAAAAUAAACCCCUUUCCAGUCCCUUCACGUUGCUAACUGGGUCAGAUGUCUCAGAGCUGAAGCUCAAGAGGCUAUUAAAUAGCUGUCACUUGAGAAAAGUCUCAAGGUGACACUUUGUUGUGAAAGCUGCACCAAUGCUGCUGAGACUUUUGAGUUGUCACUUACAGAUGUAAAUGACAUCAGUAUUUCCUCCCUUUGGAGUGUUGUGACACUAGUAAUGUUCCCUGAGCUCAUUACUUAGAAAGUCAUUAGGGUUUCUAUAUUUGCAGAGAAGUGUCAUGUCUGUUUCUCAGACUAGUCUCUUCUCUGAAAAUCAAAGCAAUUCAAUUUUUAGAAGAAAAGUACCCCGUUAGAGAGAGAUGUCUGGUUACUGAAGCUUUCCCUGGAUCUGGGAUCAUCUACAAUAGCAAACAAAACCUAUACACUCUUUUAAUUAAGGCUUUAAAUUCUGUUUUGUUUUUUUAAAUGAUAUUUAUUGAAAAUUUUUUAGAAUUAC
Podarcis lilfordi (Lilford's wall lizard) is the source of this 4967-nucleotide non-coding RNA. The record is from the annotation of a GenBank genome assembly. Lineage: Eukaryota; Metazoa; Chordata; Lepidosauria; Squamata; Lacertidae.